GUGCCUGUAGUUCAGUUGGAUAGAACGGUGGACUCCGGAUCCACUGGUGGGGAGUUCGAGUCUCCCCAGGCACACCA
This 77-nucleotide transfer RNA is filed under the name bacterium. RNAcentral describes it as "tRNA-Arg". It matches the Rfam family "tRNA". Rfam says of the family: Transfer RNA (tRNA) molecules are approximately 80 nucleotides in length. Their secondary structure includes four short double-helical elements and three loops (D, anti-codon, and T loops). Further hydrogen bonds mediate the characteristic L-shaped molecular structure. tRNAs have two regions of fundamental functional importance: the anti-codon, which is responsible for specific mRNA codon recognition, and the 3' end, to which the tRNAs corresponding amino acid is attached (by aminoacyl-tRNA synthetases). tRNAs cope with the degeneracy of the genetic code in two manners: having more than one tRNA (with a specific anti-codon) for a particular amino acid; and 'wobble' base-pairing, i.e. permitting non-standard base-pairing at the 3rd anti-codon position. RNAcentral also lists the same sequence under 1 other name. The record is from RNAcentral.